UCAGCGGCAGGUGCGAUCGCGCGAGCUUUCACGAGCGAGCGCGGUCACGAAGCCCUGACGAGUAGGAGGGUCGCGGCGGUGAGCGCAGAAGGGCUGGCCGCGAGGCCGUCUGGAGCCGCCGUCGGUGCAGAUCUUGGUGGUAGUAGCAAAUACUCCAGCGAGGCCCUGGAGGACUGACGUGGAGAAGGGUUUCGUGUGAACAGCCGUUGCACACGAGUCAGUCGAUCCUAAGCCCUAGGCGAAAGCCGAUGUCGAUGCGGUGUAGUUUUUACGAUAAACAAUGUUUGUAUACACACACACACGCACACGAAAUUCGACUUCGACUACGACUAACUACUGCGACGAUUACGACGACGAAACAAACGUUAAUUCGUCGUCGUUUAACGUCUAGUUUAGUCUAGUCUAGUCUCGUCGAAUCAUCGUCGUCGUCGUGUAUGUAACACAGAUAACGAWAGAGCACACACCCGUCGGGCGAAAGGGAAUCCGGUUCCUAUUCCGGAACCUGGC
This 507-nucleotide ribosomal RNA is filed under the name Echinodera roudieri. RNAcentral describes it as "eukaryotic LSU rRNA". It matches the Rfam family "Eukaryotic large subunit ribosomal RNA", at positions 1355 to 1629 of the family's 3401-position model. The record is from RNAcentral. Lineage: Eukaryota; Metazoa; Arthropoda; Insecta; Coleoptera; Curculionidae.